RNAcentral lists this unclassified non-coding RNA (358 nucleotides) under Hevea brasiliensis (rubber tree). The record is from RNAcentral. Lineage: Eukaryota; Viridiplantae; Streptophyta; Magnoliopsida; Malpighiales; Euphorbiaceae.
GUGAAACUGACAUUCUUUAUCCUUGACCAUCAUUAGCAUGGUGGGAGGAUACAUUGUGCAGCUGAGAACGUGUCAGGCGUUAGGCGAAAUACGUUCAUUGAAGCACAAGCUACAACCUGCUGGAGCAAAGAUGGUUUCUGAUUUACAAGUUGUGAUCUCCAUUCUGAAUGCUAUAUGGUGCUUUACUGUUAACAGAGCCUUGUUGGCUUUCGGGGGAAGAAUAGGGAGGGUUGCCUCGUGCAAUUUUGAGCUUCUAUAGCGGUUACUGCACUUUUAAGUUUGAUAACUUAGUUGUUACCAUUUUUGCUGUACAAUAUUGACUUGACUACAGAUUAGCGAUUGAUAUAUGAUGGUAUGA